AGGGGCCUCUGCCUCUAUCCAGGAUU
RNAcentral lists this microRNA (26 nucleotides) under Mus musculus (house mouse). RNAcentral's name for it is "mmu-miR-665-5p". Its record names the gene mmu-miR-665-5p. The record is from miRBase by way of RNAcentral. Lineage: Eukaryota; Metazoa; Chordata; Mammalia; Rodentia; Muridae.